ACGAGCCACAGGGGGACAAGGAUUGGCCUGGCAGAGCAGAGAGCUUUGGCUGGAACUCAGGGAACAGAACAGGGUGAAUGGCCUUUGGAAGACAGGGCAGGCAACCCAGCAGGACUACAAGGAUGUUGUGAGGUUAUUCAAGGAGAAAUUAGAAGGGCCAAAGCCUAGCUAGAACUUAAUCUGGCUACUGCUGUAAAAGACAAUUAAAAAUAUUUCUGUAAAUACAGCAGUAAGGAGAGCCUCCAUCCUUCAUUGGAUGCCACCCUUUAUUUCCUACCAGAACAGCCCCACAGGGUGCAGCUGCUCAGGAAUUUCUGAGUGGAGAUCCAUUUGUAACACAUGAUCCUGUGAAAAGCUGUUGGGAACCAGAAGUAGGCAGAAAAUGACACGGUGUCGUGUCCUCUGUGACAGCUUGUGACAGGCUGAUCACUGCAGUGCCACACAGCACUGGUGAGUGCAGAAAUUAUGUGCUAAGCACCACUGGAGUUCAUCAGGAGCUCUGCCAUCAGUGAACAGGGGCAGUGGCAUUUUCAGGGAUUGACUCCUGCUGCCCUCCUCUUAAAUACCUGUUCCCACAGUACACAAAGGGGUUGUUGCUGCAUCCCACGGAGUGAUUUUUAUCAGCCCACAUAUCACUCUUCAUAUUACUUGUCUAAAAGUUUCAGGUUGAGCCUGCAAACAUAGCAAGUUUUGUUUUAAUUCUGUUUAAUGCUUUAUUUCUGUUUCUGUACAUAUUUCAAGUAGAGUUUCUGAAGGAGUAAUUGUACCGUAGAGCACAAGAUUCAGCUUCAGUCUUUUUGUCAUUUUGAAAUCUUAUGGUGGAUGAUAAUUUCAUGCAGUUGUCAGCUGUAGAACCUUUCUUUAAGAGAUUUAGAUUUCUGUUGGGACCUGUUGCCAGCACUGUAAAAUAAAAGGUGACUAGCCAGGAUGUGUCUCCUGUCACCAAACAUGGCCAUGGCUCAGCCUGUACUCUCUGCACAGGUUGUGCCUUCAAGACACACCCAGCUUUUGCAGCUUUUGCUGGUUCUUUUUUUUUGUUUUUUUUCUUUUAUCUGGGGGUUUCCCUGUGGCUCAGCCCAUGCCUGUCGAUUGCUGUCCACGUGGGGUGUGAAAAUGAGCUGCUGGGGAAGAGUGCAGGGUGGUUAAAGGUGGGUGGGUGACUUGGAGACUUCUUUGAGCUACCAAAAUCCCAAUGUGCUGGAUCUCUGGGUGUGCUUCACUCUUUCAAAAAGAAAAGAAAUUCAAAAAUGUCUUUUUAAGCAGAUUGCAAGGCAACAUGGAAGCUUGUACUUCUAAAGGUUGACGGGGUUUCCUACUUCAGUGGCAUCUGUGAUGUCUUUUUUUCUGACCCCACAGUAGCUAAUUUAGUGGCCCAUUUAGGGUAAUCAUUAUACAAAUUCCUUUCUGCUACUCUCAGAAACCAGCUUUCCUGGCCUCAAUGAUAAUUGUACCAACCUUUACAGAUGUGAAUUGUUGAUCAAUUAAAAAUAAAAAAGGGGAAAAAUUCUCUUAAAUCA
RNAcentral lists this long non-coding RNA (1517 nucleotides) under Cyanistes caeruleus (blue tit). RNAcentral's name for it is "lncRNA (ENSCCEG00000017180.1)". The record is from RNAcentral. Lineage: Eukaryota; Metazoa; Chordata; Aves; Passeriformes; Paridae.